UACGUAUGGAGCAAGCGUUAUCCGGAUUUACUGGGUGUAAAGGGAGCGUAGGCGGCGGCCUAAGUCUGAUGUGAAAACCCGGGGCUCAACUCCGGGAUUGCAUUGGAAACUGGGCAGCUGGAGUGUCGGAGAGGCAGGCGGAAUUCCCAGUGUAGCGGUGAAAUGCAUAGAUAUUGGGAGGAACACCAGUGGCGAAGGCGGCCUGCUGGACGAUAACUGACGCUGAGGCUCGAAAGCGUGGGGAG
RNAcentral lists this ribosomal RNA (245 nucleotides) under uncultured Lachnospiraceae bacterium. Its description in RNAcentral is "partial 16S ribosomal RNA". It matches the Rfam family "Bacterial small subunit ribosomal RNA", at positions 524 to 768 of the family's 1533-position model. The record is from RNAcentral. Lineage: Bacteria; Bacillati; Bacillota; Clostridia; Lachnospirales; Lachnospiraceae.